GUCUACGGCCAUACCACCCUGAAUGCGCACGAUCUCGUCUGAUCUCGGAAGCUAAGCAGGGUGGGGCCUGGUUAGUACUUGGAUGGGAAAAAACGAAACACAUUCAGCAGUCAUGCUCC
Molecule: ribosomal RNA, 119 nt
Organism: Neogale vison (American mink)
Lineage: Eukaryota; Metazoa; Chordata; Mammalia; Carnivora; Mustelidae
Source: Ensembl